This 368-nucleotide ribosomal RNA is filed under the name Viviparidae sp. 2 AJ-2009. RNAcentral describes it as "SSU rRNA". It matches the Rfam family "Eukaryotic small subunit ribosomal RNA", at positions 54 to 401 of the family's 1831-position model. The record is from RNAcentral. Lineage: Eukaryota; Metazoa; Mollusca; Gastropoda; Architaenioglossa; Viviparidae.
CAUGUGUAAAUUCACACCCUCGUACGGUGAAACCGUUGAUGGCUCAUUAAAUCAGUCGAGGUUCCUUAGAUGAUCCAUUUCUACUUGGAUAACUGUGGUAAUUCUAGAGCUAAUACAUGCCCAACAGCUCCGACCCCGGGCUUCGCGGUUCGGGGAAAGAGCGCUUUUAUUAGUUCAAAACCAGUCGGGGGUUUCGGCCCUCGUGCUUUGGUGACUCUGGAUAACUUUGAGCCGAUCGCAUGGCCUCGAGCCGGCGACGCAUCUUUCAAAUGUCUGCCCUAUCAAAUGACGACGGUACGUGAUCUGCCUACCGUGUUGACUACGGGUAGCGGGGAAUCAGGGUUCGAUUCCGGAGAGGGAGCAUGAGA